AAGUCCUCAAACCACAUUGAUUGUUUUUCGAUGUGGCUUGGAUGUGGGGGUUUUUGUUUGCAGGCUUCAGAAAAUGAAGUCUGCUCCCCUGAAAUGCAUUAGUGGUAUCUGAGCAGAAAAACUACUACAGGUGUGAUAAUAUAUCUAUGCCUUGGUAAAAUGUGCUGCAUGGAACAGAUUGCGCUGCUUCUAACACAGAACUUUAUAUUAUUU
Molecule: unclassified non-coding RNA, 213 nt
Filed under: uncultured Inocybe
Lineage: Eukaryota; Fungi; Basidiomycota; Agaricomycetes; Agaricales; Cortinariaceae
Description: sequence contains ITS2
Source: RNAcentral